This 525-nucleotide ribosomal RNA is filed under the name Triticum aestivum (bread wheat). Its description in RNAcentral is "partial small subunit ribosomal RNA". Lineage: Eukaryota; Viridiplantae; Streptophyta; Magnoliopsida; Poales; Poaceae. The record is from RNAcentral.
AUGUCUACGGUGGAAGAUGAAGAUAUGUUGUACCCAACUGAGUUUCUGAAUAGUCUUACAUUUUCUGGAAUACCAGACCAUGAACUGAGGCUGAAAGUAGGAUUACCAAUAAUGCUUAUGAGGAACAUCAAUCAAAGUGCGGGACUUUGCAAUGGGACAAGACUAAUAAUAACACAGCUAGGAAAGCGUUUCAUUGAAGGCCAGGUCAUAACAUGUCCUAACGUUGGUGACAAAGUUUACAUCCCACGAAUUAUCAUGUCACCAAGUGAUUCAAAAUGGCCUUUCAUUCUGAAAAGGAGACAAUACCCAAUAUCAGUGUGCUUUGCUAUGACUAUAAACAAAAGCCAGGGGCAAUCUCUCAAAAAAGUUGGACUCUACUUAGAAAGGCAAGUGUUCACACAUGGACAACACUAUGUUGCAAUGUCAAGGGUGACCAGCAGAAAUGGAUUGAAGAUACUCAUCUCAGAUGAAGAGCGUCCAUCCGACAAGGUUGCAAAAAACAUUGUUUACAAGGAUAUAUUAUAG